This 497-nucleotide ribosomal RNA is filed under the name uncultured bacterium. RNAcentral's name for it is "partial 16S ribosomal RNA". It matches the Rfam family "Bacterial small subunit ribosomal RNA", at positions 28 to 507 of the family's 1533-position model. The record is from RNAcentral.
GAUGAACGCUGGCGGCGUGCCUAAUACAUGCAAGUCGAGCGAACAGACGAGGAGCUUGCUCCUCUGACGUUAGCGGCGGACGGGUGAGUAACACGUGGAUAACCUACCUAUAAGACUGGGAUAACUUCGGGAAACCGGAGCUAAUACCGGAUAAUAUAUUGAACCGCAUGGUUCAAUAGUGAAAGACGGUUUUGCUGUCACUUAUAGAUGGAUCCGCGCCGCAUUAGCUAGUUGGUAAGGUAACGGCUUACCAAGGCAACGAUGCGUAGCCGACCUGAGAGGGUGAUCGGCCACACUGGAGCUGGGACACGGACCAGACUACUACGGGAGGCAGCAGUAGGGAAUGUUCGGCAAUGGGCGAAAGCCUGACGGAGCGACGCCGCGUGAGUGAUGAAGGUGUUCGGAUCGUAAAACUCUGUUAUUAGGGAAGAACAAAUGUGUAAGUAACUAUGCACGUCUUGACGGUACCUAAUCAGAAAGCCACGGCUAACUACGUG